RNAcentral lists this transfer RNA (91 nucleotides) under Nitrospinota bacterium. Its description in RNAcentral is "tRNA-Ser". It matches the Rfam family "tRNA". Rfam says of the family: Transfer RNA (tRNA) molecules are approximately 80 nucleotides in length. Their secondary structure includes four short double-helical elements and three loops (D, anti-codon, and T loops). The record is from RNAcentral. Lineage: Bacteria; Pseudomonadati; Nitrospinota.
GGAGAGGUGCGGGAGUGGUUUAACCGGCGCGCCUGGAGAGCGCGUGGGCACUAAAACUGCCCCGUGGGUUCGAAUCCCACCCUCUCCGCCA